CAAUUUCUCGCUAGGGAAGCGGGAAAAGCUCAAAUUUAAAAUCUGGCGGUCCCUGUGGCCGUCCGAGUUGUAAUUUAGAGAAGUGUUAUCCGUGCUGGACCGUGUACAAGUCUCCUGGAAUGGAGCGUCAUAGAGGGUGAGAAUCCCGUCUUUGACACGGACUGCCAGUGCAUUGUGAUGCGCUCUCAAAGAGUCGAGUUGUUUGGGAAUGCAGCUCAAAAUGGGUGGUAAAUUCCAUCUAAAGCUAAAUAUUGAGGAGAGACCGAUAGCGAACAAGUACCGUGAGGGAAAGAUGAAAAGAACUUUGGAAAGAGAGUUAAACAGUACGUGAAAUUGCUGAAAGGGAAACGCUUGAAGUCAGUCGCGCCGUUCAGGACUCAGCCUUGCUUUGCUUGGUGUACUUCCUGUUUGGUGGGUCAGCAUCAAUUUUGGUCGGUGGAUAAAGGCUUAGAGAAUGUGGCAUCUUCGGGUGUGUUAUAGCUCUGGGUCGCAUACAUCGGCUGGGAUUGAGGAACUCAGCACGCCGCAAGGCCGGGGACUUGUCCCACGUACGUGCUUAGGAUGCUGGCAUAAUGGCUUUAAUCGACCCGUCUUGAAACACGGACCAAGGAGUCUAACAUGCCUGCGAGUGUUUGGGUGGAAAACUCGAGCGCGUAAUGAAAGUGAAAGUUGAGAUCCCUGUCGUGGGGAGCAUCGACGCCCGGAGCAGACCUUUUUGUGACGCAUCCGCGGUAGAGCAUGUAUGUUGGGACCCGAAAGAUGGUGAACUAUGCCUGAAUAGGGGUGAAGCCAGAGGAAACUCUGGUGGAGGCUCGUAGCGAUUCUGACCGUGCAAUCGAUCGUUCGAAAUUUGGGGUAUAGGGGCGAAAGACUUAAUCGUAAUCCAUCUAGUUAGCCUGGUUCCUGCCCGAAGUU
RNAcentral lists this ribosomal RNA (915 nucleotides) under Mycena citrinomarginata. RNAcentral's name for it is "LSU rRNA". It matches the Rfam family "Eukaryotic large subunit ribosomal RNA", at positions 80 to 968 of the family's 3401-position model. Lineage: Eukaryota; Fungi; Basidiomycota; Agaricomycetes; Agaricales; Mycenaceae. The record is from RNAcentral.